GUGAAGUGCGCGUGUGCAAUAACUCGAUUCGCCUUUUGCGCUCCUUCGAAACAAAGCGAUUGUGUUUUACAACUUUGGCGAAGGUUAAGUCUACUCUGUUCAUAAACGAUUCUAGUUUUGGGAACUGAAAACUGUACUGAGAUCUAAUGUUUCAUCGAUGAGAAAUUUUGCAGAAUGUCGACCAAAAUCCAUCUUCUCCCACGGGGCUUUCUCUCACUAACAUAUUUCCUCUCACUGUGGAAACGCAAAGGGGAUUCUUCACAUGUAUUCAUCUGGUGAAAUAUCUGUUCCGUCUCUGGCUGGAUCUCUUCAAGCCAUGACCCGGUUGGGGUUCGGCGAAUGUAUGUCGCAAGUGACAUCACUUGCGGCCAAUAAACUGCGAAACUGGCGUGGAAGGACUAUUUAAUUGAUAGAUGAAUUGCAUCUUAUUGGAUUUUUGUUUGUCAAACACCAAGCAACAUUUUCGAUUAAAGAUUUGUCUAGGUAGACAAGAACGCAGUGAGCGCUACUGUUUAAAAGCUUGCAUCGUUACCAUGGGGACUGGCCCCAAUCGCAACCUCAGAUGGCUAGCUAGAUUUGAUGAGAAGGAAAAUGUUUCCAACUGUAUUCAGUUGAAGACCUCGGUAAUCAAAUGCAUCAAAAACCAGCUAUUGGACCAUUUUCCAGACAUUGAGUCAAGGCUCAACCAUCUCAUGCCAAAAAAGGACCCUGUCAAAAUAGUGAGGUGCCAUGAACACAUUGAAAUCUUGACAGUGAAUGGAGAAUUGCUCUUCUUCAGACAAAGAGAAUGACUGUUCUACCCAACUCUGACUGCUGCAUAAGUGUAAAACCUCCACUCUUUUUGAUGUGCAGACACCUUUAUUCUUCCACACCAACAAGUAAAGGGGCCAUCAAGUUUGUCCUAAGUGGAUCCAAUAUCAUGUGCCCUGGAUUGACAUCCCCAGGUGCCAAACUCUACUCUUCUGCCUCAUGCAUGAUCAUGUAUGGUGCCUUGAGAAAGUAUACAUACACCUUGACUUAUUCCACAUUUUGUGUUACAGCCUGAAUUCAAAAUUGAUUAAAUGCUUUUUCUUACCCAUCUACACACAAUAUCCCAUUACGAAAGUUAAAACCUGUUUAGACAUUUUUGCAAAUGUAUUGAUAAUGAAAUGGAGAAAUAUCACAAGUAUUCAUACCCCUGAGUCAAUGUCAGAAUCACCCUUGGCAGUGAUUACACCAGGAUUGUUCAAUAUUUGCACAUUCUUUUUAAACUUAUUCAAGCUUUGUCAAGUUGAUGUUGAUCAUCGCAAGACACCCAUUCAAGUCUUGCCAUAGAUUUAAGUAGAUUUAAGUUGAAAUUGUCACUCGGGAACAUUCAAUGUGAUCUUGGUAAGCAACUCCUGUAUAUUUGGCCUUGCGUUUUAGGUUAUUGUCCUGCUGAAAGGUGAAUUUUGUCACCCAGUGUCUUUUGGAAAGCAGACUGAACCAGGUUUUUCUCUAGCAUUUUUUUCUGUGCUUAGCUAUAUUCCAUUUAUUUGUAUCCAAAAUAAAUACCUUGUCCUUGCCGAUGACAAGCAUACUCAUAACAUGAUGCAGCCACCACCAUGCUUGAAAAUAUGAGGAGUGAUACUCAGUGACAUGUUGUUGGAUUUGCCCCAAACAUAAUGCUUUGUAUUCAGGACAAAAAAGUAAAUUUCUUUGAAUUGUA
Oncorhynchus kisutch (coho salmon) is the source of this 1687-nucleotide long non-coding RNA. RefSeq lists it as uncharacterized. NCBI's taxonomy places the organism in Eukaryota, Metazoa, Chordata, Actinopteri, Salmoniformes, Salmonidae. The transcript is spliced from 4 exons. The record is from RefSeq and is a predicted model, not a curated record.